AUAUUGCUAAUUGAUUAAAAAAAAAAUUAUUUUAUUGAUAUUAUUAUCAGACGGAAUAUCUCUAAUUUAUGACGUCAUAAAGCUAUGAAAAAAGAAGAAGACAUCUGGUGAGUGAUGAUCAAAAUGAAGUUGCUGGCACUCUGUAUAGCCCCCACACACCAAGUCACCAACACACAAUCACACCCCUAUGAGUCACACACUCAAGUCAACUAGCGUUUGUCUCAAUUUCAUGUUUUUGCUGGAUUUUAGCCAGCAAGAUUUCCAAGUAGAGUUUUGUUGUUUUUCAGUGACCCAGGUUUGCCAAUAAUCUUGCCAGCUGAGCACUUGCACUCGGUCGUGCUUUGUCCAGGAUUCUGGUUACGUGGGACUAAAGAUGGAUGAUUCCUGGGCCUUACCCUUUAAUCCCGAUGGUUUUCAGGAUUUUGUUUUUGAAGUGAAUCCCCAAAAUGGGCAGACGGUCACUGCAGGGGGACUCGAAGAGGAUGGCUUUGACCAAGAGCAACGUGCGAGAAGUGGAAUGUAUGAGGAAACUGGGAGGUCUGUCUCUCAAACGGAGACCAAACACCACACACCUUCCCCAAUUCCUACCUCGUCAGCAGCCGAAUGUCUUCCCGCUGCAAUCAAAUCAGUUGUGCCCGCGGCCGAAACACCACGUGGGCGUCCGAAAAAGGCCGCAAAGUCAGCUUUGGACCUGAAGAUCGACAAAUUGUUGAAUCUACACAAAUCCAUCCGUCAGGGUCGCCGCCGUAAAUUAUCGCUCCCAGGCGACGGGCGUCGUAAUGGAAUGAUGUUAAGUGCCAUACAACGACUGUUGUCAUUGAAAACCGAUCAAGGGAAAAUCCCCCGCGAGGCCAGUGAAUUGGUGGCAGCUGGAGUUGCCGAGAAAGACGUUGGUGCCGUUGAGGUAAUGCUCUGUCUUCCGGAGUCCAAUCUUAAUUCGAAGAUCAGUUUUCCGGCCAAUUUGGCCUCUCUUACUGGGUUAAGAGGACUUCUGCUAAGUCUAGAGGGCGAGGAGUCUGUCGAAGUGAAAAAAGAAAACGGAAUCUCUGAGACGGAAGUGAACUGCUUGGGAGAUCCAGUUGAGGAUCAAAAGCUGCUGUUUGUACUUAACAAGUGCUUUCGAUCAUGGGCCAGACCGUAUUUUGAUAUCGAGGCUCCUGUUGAUGAGAAGAAGAGAAUGGACUAAGUCUGGUCAAAUCCCGCUAAGGACGCGAGACACGCGACUCGUAUUUCGAUUAAAUUUUCGUAUGUAUUUACGUCUGUAUAUAUUGUUUUCAAAAUUCUUGAAACUGAUAACCGUUAUCAUAAUUUUAGAAACCCUUGUCUAGUACAUGGUCAAAAUUUAUUUCUUAAACAUCAAAAUUUAUUUGUUUACAUUCAAGUUAAAAAUUACCUUAUUAGCUACUUUAAUACUUCACUUAUACAAAGUUCUUCUUGAAUACUCGAUGAAAUCAUAGGCCUACUAAACUCAUUUUUACCCGCGCAUUAUUUUCAGUGGAACUCUGGAUGGUAACGUUACUGUACGACGGAAUAAAUUAGUUUUUAUUAUUUUUCAAAUCAGACACUAGAACGGCAUAAUUUCAGGGUCGACCCCAGAAUUUAUUUUGGCCAUUUUGUUGAAGUUACAACAAACCGGAAUAACUAGAACUAAAAAAUUCGGACACUAGAAAGCGAUCAUUUCUUUCUAGACCCCACAUUAAAAGUAAUUUGGUCAAAGCGGACAGUAGCUGUUUUAGCCGUCAGAAUGGAAAGCACAUAGAACUUUGAAAUCCUUAAACGUUAAUACGUGUUCAUGGCCGACCCUAGAACGAAAAAAUUUACUAUUUCUGGACGGCUAUUGAGUACACAUUUGUUAACCGUUAGUGGACUGUUGAGUCGGAAGUUUUGAAAGUUUUAAUGAUCGACCUUGCUAUUCAACGUAUAACAGGCUCACUCUGUCCGCUAGUCGAUGGAUUCCGGCACCUUCCAGCAAACUUCGUCGACGUUUGGACUCAACAGCAAGGGCCACGCCAUUCCGUCCAUGGGCGACAUUUAAAAGUACGCGCAGAGCAACCUCAAAAUCCACAAGAAGUUCAGCGAGAAUUUUUCGAUCCGUAAUAUACGGUUGGUUCAAGAAUCCGAUACGAUUCCAUCCGCAAGCCUAUGCUUCCGCUGGAAGGCAAGACGCUGAAGAGGGAGACCUGCGAUUUUUUCAUGUGAUUGCAUAUUUACACGGGUGAUUGCAAGUGCAAGCCGGGCCUGACGUACGACUCUAUUACUCUGCAACUAAUUGCAAUCACGCCUAGAAGAAUAAUAAGCCGGUCAUGUAAUUGCAUAUCUGCUGUCAGACGACAGAGAAUCUUCGCUUGAUUCGUUAAAAUUAUGCGCAAGAUUGCAUGCUUCAUGGUAUGAAUUUGAAAUCUGAAUCGAUAUGCACUUUGCCGAGAUUUAGAACUUAAUUUAAAGUUUGGGGAAUUUCCUUCUGUAGUUGCAUACAUGAUAUGAUAUGUAUAAAUGGAUGAUUCGGUGCAAUAACUCACACAUCUCGCCCAGGAAAUGAACUUUCCGUCAUUUUGCCUUUCUUUUGAAAAUCUUGUCGUCAAUGUCAAUGAGAUUCAUCACAUUUGAGUCCAACUUAAUUAAUUGGUGAUAACUCGGUUGGAUACAGAGAUUUCCCAUAUCGCUGAAGCUGAACAUUAUAUCUUAUA
Molecule: unclassified non-coding RNA, 2687 nt
Filed under: Daphnia pulicaria
Lineage: Eukaryota; Metazoa; Arthropoda; Branchiopoda; Diplostraca; Daphniidae
Description: uncharacterized LOC124316242, transcript variant X1
Source: RNAcentral